RNAcentral lists this ribosomal RNA (253 nucleotides) under uncultured bacterium. Its description in RNAcentral is "partial 16S ribosomal RNA". It matches the Rfam family "Bacterial small subunit ribosomal RNA", at positions 524 to 776 of the family's 1533-position model. The record is from RNAcentral.
UACGUAGGGGGCAAGCGUUGUCCGGAUUUAUUGGGCGUAAAGAGCGUGUAGGCGGUUAGGUAGGUCCGUUGUGAAAACUCGAGGCUCAACCUCGAGACGCCGAUGGAAACCAUCUGACUAGAGUCCGGAAGAGGAGAGUGGAAUUCCUGGUGUAGCGGUGAAAUGCGCAGAUAUCAGGAGGAACACCUGAGGCGAAGGCGGGUUGCUAGGCUGACACUGACGCUGAGGCGCGAAAGCUAGGGUAGCAAACGGG